CGAGCGGAACGAUGCCUAGCUUGCUAGGAGGCGUCGAGCGGCGGACGGGUGAGUAAUGCAUAGGAAUCUGCCCGGUAGUGGGGGAUAACCUGGGGAAACCCAGGCUAAUACCGCAUACGCCCUACGGGGGAAAGCAGGGGAUCUUCGGACCUUGCGCUAUCGGAUGAGCCUAUGUCGGAUUAGCUAGUUGGUGAGGUAACGGCUCACCAAGGCUGCGAUCCGUAGCUGGUCUGAGAGGAUGAUCAGCCACAUCGGGACUGAGACACGGCCCGAACUCCUACGGGAGGCAGCAGUGGGGAAUAUUGGACAAUGGGCGAAAGCCUGAUCCAGCCAUGCCGCGUGUGUGAAGAAGGCCUUCGGGUUGUAAAGCACUUUCAGUGAGGAAGAAAGCCUUGAGGUUAAUACCCUCGAGGGAGGACAUCACUCACAGAAGAAGCACCGGCUAACUCCGUGCCAGCAGCCGCGGUAAUACGGAGGGUGCGAGCGUUAAUCGGAAUUACUGGGCGUAAAGCGCGCGUAGGCGGCUUGAUAAGCCGGUUGUGAAAGCCCCGGGCUCAACCUGGGAACGGCAUCCGGAACUGUCAGGCUAGAGUGCAGGAGAGGAAGGUAGAAUUCCCGGUGUAGCGGUGAAAUGCGUAGAGAUCGGGAGGAAUACCAGUGGCGAAGGCGGCCUUCUGGACUGACACUGACGCUGAGGUGCGAAAGCGUGGGUAGCAAACAGGAUUAGAUACCCUGGUAGUCCACGCCGUAAACGAUGUCGACUAGCCGUUGGGCUC
This 776-nucleotide ribosomal RNA is filed under the name uncultured bacterium. Its description in RNAcentral is "bacterial SSU rRNA". It matches the Rfam family "Bacterial small subunit ribosomal RNA", at positions 63 to 830 of the family's 1533-position model. The record is from RNAcentral.